CACUGUUCUGUUUGCGAUCCGGCAUUGUCGCGGUUCCAAGGCCAAAUAAUUAUCUUCAGUUUUACUCAGCGAGAUAUCAAACUUUUUCAAACGUUGAUUCAGUCGAUAUCAGUCUAACAUUAGCAUGCGGUGCUGAACCACGUGAGAAUAAGUCUUAUAAUCUAGAGAAUGGAAAGUCAAGUUAAUGAAGCAGGUGUAAACGAUGAUAUGGAAAUUGUCGUCAAAUGUGAAAAGCACGUUAUCGAUGAGGUUACAGCAACGAGUGUUUGCAAUGAAGUUCCUACACAAAAAUCUCAACAAGAUGUGAUAGUAGAUUGUAGCCCUAAUUCUGAAGAAGAGGAUGAAAACUCCAUGCUUCUAGAAAUAGAAUCAUCAAAAUCUCAGGCUUCUGAAGUAGCAGCUGGUGAAGGAUGUGUUUUGCAAUUGGAGUCAAAUCACGAAAAUGAAGAUGUAAUUGUCGAGCAAGAGAACAAGACGGAUCAUCAUGAAACCAUUGAAAACGCUGCCAAAAGCUGUACCCCACACUGUACCACAUCUACACCAGGGGAAAAUGUGACAUCUGACCAAUUACAGAAUACUGUUGAAUUUGUUCAACUAUUGGAGGCAGACUUGAUUCCCCCUAAAGAAAACCAGAUUUCAAAGCAACUCACUCAAGAAAUACAAGUUCCACCUUUACAGGUUGCAGAAGCUUGUGAGAAAAAAGCUCUGGCGCAUGAAGGAACUGUUGAUGCAGUGAAAGAUAAAGAAAGUAGCUGUUUGGAAAAAAUCUUAACUAAGAACUUAAGUGAGCUGUCAGUUAAUGAAGAGUUUAAUGGAGCAGAAACUACAAAAGAAAAUCACCAUGAUGAUAAAAUCUCAGUUGAAGAAUCUGAUGCUGUUGUGUUAGAAACCACUGCAAGUAUUCAAGAAGUUAAUGUGGAAAACAUAGCAAAUUCAAAUCUUGAACCUGUUGAUGAGGAUCCAAUUUCGAGGAGGUUCACAUUACUCAAGAAGCGAGUUGAUAGAAGUCUUACCCUCUGCUCUAAAAGCCUGGUUGAAGACUUCCUCUCUGUUAAAAAAUUCUUUGAAGAAAUAGAUCAACAAGAAACUCUACUUCAAGAAAUGGCAUCCCAAGCUGACCUCCUGAAGUCAAUACUAGAAUCUGCAGAACAGUUACCAGAAGAACUGAAAGUUACUGUUCUUGACCACUUGGAGGCAUGCUUUAACGUAGGUCAUUGGCUGGAGAAAUCAGUAAAAACGAAGCAACUUGCUGAGUGCAGGCAAUUGUUGAACAAAGACAAAGGCUAUGUUUCGCUGAGAUAUAGUGGGAUCUCUAAAGUAAAAACCAUCAUCGAGCAGCAUUCGCAAGGUACGUCGAAAUCACCAAUGCUAGAACUUUCACGAGAAGAUGUGCAAGAGGCUUCAUGUGAUCCGUUUCUUGUCACCGUCACACACAUCGUUGAUCCGGGAGAGUUUUAUAUUGUCCGAUUUUGCGAUAAAGCAAGACUGGACAGAAUCCUUUCAGAGCUCAGAGACAACGCAUCUUCUUAUCCGACUCCAUCAGAAAUUACUCCCGGCAUCGUGUAUACCGUUUGCAACAGUGGUCUCAAUUGGUUUCGUGGCUCUUGUGGAAAACAGUGUGGAAGCCAGGUAAUUGGGGAUCAUCCUCCCGAAAUCCUUUACGAAUUUUUCAUGAUUGAUCAAGGGCAUCACGAAAAGAUCCCUGCUUCGUCUAUUCGCAUUCUACCUCAAGAGCUUUCGAAUCAUCCUCCAUUCGCCCAUGAAUGCACUCUAAAUCAAAAUUUUCAGGGUGCUCCUUGGAGUAUUCAAGCAACCACUCUUUUCAAGCAGAUGACAAGGCAAUCCCUAAUGAAUAUGAAGGUUUUCAGUCAACACGGAGGAGUUCUAGAAGUUGAUCUUGCCCAGCUAAUCAGCUUUGGGGAAGCAGCAAACAUCGUUUCUGUUAGAGACGCUUUGUUUUUGUCACAUCGGCCAUCGUCUACUGAACCACCGAACAAGAAAUUCAAGCAGAAAUUUGCUGUUGAAGAACUCGAUCAUUCCAAACAAUUUUCUGUUAUCGUGACUGCAGCAGAAUCCCCCAGUAACAUCUAUUUUCAAGUGGCGGACGAACAAUGUACUGAAUAUCGACAAAUGAAACAGGAAUUACAGACUGAGAUGGAAAAUGCCAGCACGCCUUUGAGUUUUUCACAAAUUCAAAAAGGUUGUAGUUGUGCUGCAAAAUAUCGUGGACUAUGGUAUCGAUGUAUGAUCGAAGAUAUCUAUCAACACAACAGGGUGCUUAUUUUCUACGUGGAUACAGGACACCGUCUAAGGGGAAACUUUUCCGAUUGUUUCAACCUACCGGAAAGGUUUUUCCAUCUGCCUGCUCAAGCAAUACGUUGCAAGCUUGAUGGCAUCAUUUGCAAGAAUCCGCGGGCACCAAUGGUUUACCAAAAUCGGCGUAAUCCAAUGGUCAAAUGGUCACAGGAAUCGAUAGAAAUGGUACACAGUUACCGUGACUUGCGUGGAGUCGUCAUUGUAGAGCAUUGGAUGUACGGAGACGUAGGGCGCGUGGACCGAGAACUGACUGCCUGUGUCGUUUUAUAUAAAGACGGCGAGAAUUCAAGCCUCAAUUUCUGUCUGUCCCACAACGAUUAUGUCGCCACCAGCAAGAACCAAUCCCAUCCAGAACAUGCCACAAUCAGAUCAAGUCUCGCUGCGCAAAGACGAAUUUCUCAGUCUACGUCCAUUAAUUCGGUCGGUAGCGGGUCAUGUGUUCCGUCAACAGACGUCUCUAUUGCAUCUCCGAUCCCUUCUGAGAUGAGCACUCUUUCGCAGCCUUUAAUCUGCACAUCUGAUCCGAUCUCUACCGACCCCAUAUCGAUUGAAACUGAUGUCCAAGUAUCUCGAGGGGAAAAAAAAGGACAGCGUGAUUUUUACCAACACGAAGACGGCGAAUCAAACCAAUUAGCCAGUGCCCCUUCAUGUAGCUUCGAUCAUCUGUCAUCUACUCACCAACAAAGUGUCGGAGACCCUUUAUCUGCUGGCAACGUAACUGAGUUGCUACCUUCUCUUAAUUCCGCGACUAAUGCUCAAGAAUCCAUUGCAUGUGACGUUUCUUCGUCAACGCAACUGCCAGUUUCAGACUCAGAGGCCAAGGCAAUUUUAGUUAACGAAGCAGCUAACGGAAGCAAUAUUGAAGCGUGUAUUACGAAUUCGUGGAAACACUUCAAAUUCCAGUUUGGAAAGGCAUCGACAUCUCAAACAAGGAAGAAUGAAUCGCUUAAUACGCCAAUGGACAAACCUCCUCUUGAAGAUUUCCGUCGUGUUUCUAAUCCAGGAGUCGGUCCACUACCACUUGCUCAAGACACGUUAACUGAUCUCACUUCAAAAAUGACCAUGCAGUCCUCAGCGGUACAUCCUACCAUUUUGGCAACUACUUCCAAUCAGCGGGAUAAAAGAAAUGCUAACACGACAGAAACAAAUCCAGAUGGUGCUUCGUCCGUUAAAUGCAUUAAUGACGCUGAUAUUAUGAGUACUCAAGGAACGCAGCCAGAUUGUGAAACUUCAAUCAAGGUCUCCUUUGUUUGGAUCGACUCCCCUGACGCCAUCUUUUUUCGCACGGCAGAUAUGCAGAGUCAAUUCCAAGAUCUGCGUUAUAAUUUGAAGAAACACUACGGAGGACGCAAGUUACGUUCCCAAGGGGACUUUGAUAUUGGUUAUCGUUGCGCCGUCAAGGCAGAUAAAUUGUGGUGGCGCGCUGAGGUUGUGUGCGUGGAAAAUUUUCCUUCAUGUAAAGUCUCUUUAGUUGACACUGGAUAUCAACGCACAGUUAACGCGAGAGACAUUUACCCUUUGACAAAUGAAUUCGACGAAAUCCAACGCCUAAUACUAAUGUGUUCGUUGUGUGAUGUCUAUUCUGGGACUAGCGAUGAAAAGUGGAAAGAUGAAACCAUCAACUAUAUUCGUGACCGACUUAUGGGAUCUGAAGGAAUUCAUAUUUUAAAACGAGGUCCAGAGUCGAAACGUUCGCCCCUUCCAAUAAUGUGUUUGUACGAAUACGAUGUGGAAGCCGGGGCAUUACAAAGUCCAGGCGUGACACGGAUCAACCUUAACGAAGAGCUCGUUGAAAUGAGAUUAGCUUUUCACUCUUCCAAACCUUCGCCAGUUCAAAAACUUGUUGCUAAAAUUCCGGCAUGGAAAUUGCCGGAAUCACCAAAGCUUGGCUCAGCAUUUUGGGGGGUGGUGACUUGGGUCAAUUUGGAAGCAGAGAUCUUCUUGCAUGAUGUGAAAUUUACAGAAAAAUUGAAUGAGAUUACCAAAUGGCUAAGCGAUGCUUACAUGGAUACAGAGCCUUCACUUGCCGAUCUUAACUGCAGUCCAGGAGAUCUCUGCAUAGCAAGAUACGAAGUUGACAAACAAUGGUACCGCGGUAUCAUAAAAAGGAUUGUUCAACCCGGAAUUGUGGAGGUGUUUUUUGUCGAUUAUGGCACAUUGGAUGCGGUAGACUGUCGUUACAUUCGACUGAAAAUCAUGCUUGAAGAAGUGCCCGUUAUUGCAAUAAGCUGCAAACUUUUCAACGUUCGACCUUUAGCUAACACCGAUGGAAAAUUGGAGUGGCAAGAGGGAAUGCUUAACGAAAUCCAUAAAGAAAUUGUGGAAAGAGAAUUUAAAAUUCACGUCAAAGGCAGAGGCCGCCCACUGCCAAUCGUGAUGUUGACCGACAGACGGCAGUCGUAUUCGGAUCUACUAGUUCAACGAAAUUGUGUGGAGAACAUCGAUCCAAGUUUAAAAAGUAGAAAAAAAAAGAAGCAAGGAAAGAAGAAGUAAAUGAAAAAUGUGAUUCAAUUCCUGUACUACUCAGGUUUUUUUUUUUUUUUUUUUAUCAUUUCUCAUCCAUCUGGAUUAUCUCUCACUUUCAGUUUAACAAAUUUCUGUGAUCAAGAAGACAGAAGGAAAUUCUGUUAGGAAAUUGAAGUCGAGCUUUUUUCCCGUUAAUAUGGUUAGACACCCUAGCUCUCCGUCAAACCAAGAUCCUUCUCCAGUUUAAACUUUUUUGUGUUGACAUUGAUGUAAUCAAAUGUAUUCAAAUGUUUUGAACCAAGAUAAUACAACUUUUUUCAUAUAA
RNAcentral lists this unclassified non-coding RNA (5107 nucleotides) under Daphnia pulex (common water flea). RNAcentral's name for it is "uncharacterized LOC124191244, transcript variant X4". The record is from RNAcentral. Lineage: Eukaryota; Metazoa; Arthropoda; Branchiopoda; Diplostraca; Daphniidae.